This 484-nucleotide ribosomal RNA is filed under the name uncultured bacterium. RNAcentral describes it as "partial 16S ribosomal RNA". It matches the Rfam family "Bacterial small subunit ribosomal RNA", at positions 30 to 507 of the family's 1533-position model. The record is from RNAcentral.
AUUGAACGCUGGCGGCAGGCCUAACACAUGCAAGUCGAGCGGAUGAAGGGAGCUUGCUCCUGGAUUCAGCGGCGGACGGGUGAGUAAUGCCUAGGAAUCUGCCUGGUAGUGGGGGAUAACGUCCGGAAACGGGCGCUAAUACCGCAUACGUCCUGAGGGAGAAAGUGGGGGAUCUUCGGACCUCACGCUAUCAGAUGAGCCUAGGUCGGAUUAGCUAGUUGGUGGGGUAAAGGCCUACCAAGGCGACGAUCCGUAACUGGUCUGAGAGGAUGAUCAGUCAAAGGGAAACGGAGACACGGCCAGGACUCCGCGGGGGGCCAGCGUGGGGAAUUUUGGAAAAAGGGGCGAAAGCUGGAACCGCCCAGGCGGGGUGUGGGAAGAGGUUCUGGGGUUUUAAAACCUUUUUAAGUGGGGGGAAAGGGAAGUAAUUUAAUCCCUUCUUGUUUUGACUUUACCAAAAAAAAAAGCCCCGGCAACCUUCGUG